UCCAUUUUUAGGAAAAAUAAUAUGUUGGUUUCCGAUAGUGGCGAGUUUGUGUUAUGUGAUUCCUGGAAAUGUGCGACUGUGUUAAAUUGCGUGUUUCAAAUUGUGAAUAUGAAAAAAGGUGGGUGGGGAGGAAUAUGAAUUGGGAAUUUGGAGGUUGUAUUUGAGUUCAAGUGUGAUAGCAUUUCUAUCUUUUUUAAAUAUCAUGCGGGAAACAUUUUAAUCUUGGUUUCAUGUGUAAAUUGUUGCAAUGAGGUUACAACAAAAUUUUUUUGUUGGGUUGGAGGGUGUUUAGGAAGAUGGCGCUUGAGAUUCACAAUGGUUUGACUUUUUCAUUGCUGCAGCAUAGAACUUGUUUGGGAAGAAUAACAACACAGAUUCAGAUUCAUUACAGAGGGAAGGAGAAAAUCUGCAGGCCAUGGAGAGUACCAACGUCAACUUAGUUGCCAUUCUUAUAUGGUAAUGGAUGCAUCAUCCCUUGGAGAACAUAUAGAAUGUGCAAAGGAACAGGUCAGCGAAGGUGAACCUGAAUAUUUUUCUGAUUAUCCUUGUUUUCAUGUCAAAAUAUUGAGCACUGGCUGGGUGCCUAUUGAAAGACAGGAGUGCACGUUGGGUGUGCAAGCAAGACAUUCAAGAUUUUAAGAAAAGAAAAUCCCAAACAGGGAAAAGAAAAGCAACUCUUUGAACUGAAUAUGGACAUGAUCUCACAUUCUCCAGCUUCUAGGAAUAAGAUGCUAGUGGUUUCCCCUCUACUGUA
This is a non-coding RNA of Arachis ipaensis, 754 nucleotides long. Lineage: Eukaryota; Viridiplantae; Streptophyta; Magnoliopsida; Fabales; Fabaceae. The record is from RefSeq and is a predicted model, not a curated record.